This 1781-nucleotide unclassified non-coding RNA is filed under the name Orbicella faveolata. Its description in RNAcentral is "uncharacterized LOC110043148, transcript variant X1". The record is from RNAcentral. Lineage: Eukaryota; Metazoa; Cnidaria; Anthozoa; Scleractinia; Merulinidae.
UCCUCCUGCAGAAGUUGAGCAUAGAUAAUGCCACUUUUGGUCAAAGGUGAUGACGUCAGAAGUGGAAGAUUUCCCUUCAAACGCAAGUAUCAAGGACCAAAUCCAAAUGUGCUAAGCGAGGCCAAGGCUCGUCACGGCCGGUUAUGGCCGGCACAGGAGUCAAUGGGUUAAGCAUAUGAAUCUGGCAGGGUACAGUGAAAGGGUAUCACAUUAGGGAUGGGAGGGAAGAUAAUUCCUUGUGGUAUAUUGGAUUCAGCCUUUAGGCUAGUGUUCUCAAUAGACGGGCAUAACAGGCAGAAUUACCACUGGCUUUCAAAACAAAAGUAGCAACCUAGUCUAGCCUGUGAGCGUCCUCCUACACCACAGCCUACCCCCUACCCCUUUUUGAGCAAGAAAUGCUUCAGCUUAAUUAACCUACUGCCUUUUGGAGGAAGAGAGUAUUUACCGUAACACACCCACUUUUUGUGUAAGAAAGGGUCCACUUUCAUCUGCUUUCUUUCUAAGUGGGAAAUUGUCCAUCGUUGACCAUCCUACAGGGUAAAGAAGGGUUGACUCCCCCCUUUUGAAGCAAGGGAGGGUCCCCUUUUUGAGGAGGAAUGGGUCCACCCCCACUAGCCACUCCCUCUCCUCAUUUGGGCCAGGACUUAGGGUCCAGGGGCCACUUUUACUUCAGCCUCUCCCUUCAUGCUAAAUCAAUAAAUACAGCAAACUGGAAAAUGUAUCAAAUGAUUUAAUAAACUCUACUGAUUAUAAUAAUGUAGUCUGGAUAGAUCAGAACUGUAGAGGAAACAAUUACCAUUACAUCUUUGAGGAAACCUGGAAGACAUCUCAUGUUAUAGACUGCAAAACAUCAGUUUCUACGUUUUAAAACGAUUUUGCUUUUCUAGGAAGAUUUUUGUGAACUUUCUGACUAUAUUCCUGAACAAAUUUCAUAUUUUACACAAAUCAGCCCAUAUCAUGUGCUGUAAUGGUCUUACACAAAUCAUGUAAUGUUACAUGAAGUAGUACUACUGCUGACCCUGUGUAGUGACAUAUUCUCAGUGUGUGGUGAUCCUGUAAAGCAGCCAUUUAUUCUUGAAUGAGUAGACUGGCUGUUUUCAGCUGUUCUGCAAGUCUGAUUUCAUUGUCAAGUUUUGUAGCAAAGGAGCUUUUACUAUGACAUGUUGGGAUUUAGCUUUCUGUCCUCUUGAAACAACACACUACUGCAGCUGCUAACCAAUAGAGCUAAACACCAAUGGUCAUUGUUGGUACACAAGGAGGGCACAGCCCAAUUAAGCACCUACUUCAUUAAUUACCUCUUCCUGCCUUCUCUUCUGCAGCCUGUUAGCAGCAAAGGAACCUUAUCCAUUCAGUUGCUAGAUUACAAUAAUCCAAGCUCUAAAGAUUAUGCUGGAUCAUGCUGCGACUGCUGUGGUGUGUUUGGUUGGUGCCCAAAUGAUUGUGAAAACUUCUUCCGGAUUAUUGUCACAUCGUAUCCAUACAAUUUUUUUAGUGCUCUGUCACCUUGGGAAAGGUGGGAGACGUUCGUUUUAGGAGAUGAUAGUUUUGAUUUUCCUGGAUAUGGUCAAACUGUUGGUAGUAGUCUGCACAACCCACUGACGUACCAUUUUACUGGAAGGUGGCCGGAAGCAUUUGCUAUUGGCCUGGAUGUAUGGGAUGACGACAGUGGUAAUUUUCUUAAAAUUGGACAUGCUGAUGAUCUUGUUGACACCAUGAGUAGUAACGUUGGUAAUGUUCCAGCACAGAAGGAUUUGCAGAGUGCUGUUGCCAAAAGUGUCACG